UGAGGAAUAUUGGACAAUGGUGGGAACACUGAUCCAGCCAUGCCGCGUGCAGGAUGACUGCCCUAUGGGUUGUAAACUGCUUUUAUAUAGGAAGAAACCCCCGCUCGUGAGCGGGGCUGACGGUACUAUAAGAAUAAGGAUCGGCUAACUCCGUGCCAGCAGCCGCGGUAAUACGGAGGAUCCAAGCGUUAUCCGGAAUCAUUGGGUUUAAAGGGUCCGCAGGCGGAUUGUUAAGUCAGAGGUGAAAGUUUGCCGCUCAACGGUAAAAUUGCCUUUGAUACUGAUAGUCUUGAAUCAUUGUGAAGUGGUUAGAAUAUGUAGUGUAGCGGUGAAAUGCAUAGAUAUUACAUAGAAUACCGAUUGCGAAGGCAGAUCACUAACAAUGUAUUGACGCUGAGGGACGAAAGCGUGGGUAGCGAACGGGAUUAGAUACCCCCG
Molecule: ribosomal RNA, 438 nt
Filed under: uncultured prokaryote
Description: bacterial SSU rRNA
Rfam family: Bacterial small subunit ribosomal RNA
Source: RNAcentral